RNAcentral lists this transfer RNA (66 nucleotides) under Paruterina candelabraria. Its description in RNAcentral is "tRNA-Leu". The record is from RNAcentral. Lineage: Eukaryota; Metazoa; Platyhelminthes; Cestoda; Cyclophyllidea; Paruterinidae.
GUAGUUAUGUCAGAAUAUAUAUGAGUUAGCUUUAAGCGCUGAUUAUGGAUAGCAAUCCUAACUACU